RNAcentral lists this ribosomal RNA (484 nucleotides) under Centipeda infelix. Its description in RNAcentral is "bacterial SSU rRNA". It matches the Rfam family "Bacterial small subunit ribosomal RNA", at positions 28 to 484 of the family's 1533-position model. The record is from RNAcentral. Lineage: Bacteria; Bacillati; Bacillota; Negativicutes; Selenomonadales; Selenomonadaceae.
GACGAACGCUGGCGGCGUGCUUAACACAUGCAAGUCGAACGGAGCGAAUGAAAGCUUGCUUUUAUGAGCUUAGUGGCAAACGGGUGAGUAACACGUAGACAACCUGCCGACAGGAUGGGGACAACAUUCCGAAAGGAAUGCUAAUACCGAAUGAAGCGGAGGAGAGGCAUCUCUCCUCCGUGAAAGAUGGCCUCUAUUUAUAAGCUAUCACCUGUCGAUGGGUCUGCGUCUGAUUAGCUAGUUGGUGAGGUAACGGCUCACCAAGGCGACGAUCAGUAGCCGGUCUGAGAGGAUGAACGGCCACAUUGGGACUGAGACACGGCCCAGACUCCUACGGGAGGCAGCAGUGGGGAAUCUUCCGCAAUGGGCGUAAGCCUGACGGAGCAACGCCGCGUGAGUGAAGAAGGUCUUCGGAUCGUAAAGCUCUGUUGAUGGGGACGAAUGUACGGAGUGCGAAUAGUGCUCGGUAAUGACGGUACCAUCG